This 653-nucleotide ribosomal RNA is filed under the name Trechispora invisitata. RNAcentral's name for it is "eukaryotic LSU rRNA". The stretch from base 249 to 402 matches the Rfam family "5.8S ribosomal RNA". The record is from RNAcentral. Lineage: Eukaryota; Fungi; Basidiomycota; Agaricomycetes; Trechisporales; Hydnodontaceae.
GGAAGUAAAAGUCGUAACAAGGUUUCCGUAGGUGAACCUGCGGAAGGAUCAUUAACGUAUCUCUGACGGGGUUCGGUGCGCCCUGCUCCGGUCGACAACGGCCGUGCAGCGGGUUCCCGUCCCUGUUCACACCUCACAAACCCACUGUGAACCUUCACGGCGGAAGGGAGGCGACUCCCCGAGGCCGCAUACCAAACCCCAGUUGUAAAGAAUGUCGUGCGGACUUUGCGCCGCCUAAAACACAAAACAACUUUCAACAACGGAUCUCUUGGCUCUCGCAUCGAUGAAGAACGCAGCGAAAUGCGAUAAGUAAUGUGAAUUGCAGAAUUCAGUGAAUCAUCGAAUCUUUGAACGCACCUUGCGCUCCUUGGUAUUCCGAGGAGCAUGCCUGUUUGAGUGUCUUGAAGUCAUCAACCCCUCCCGUUUCGUGCGUGGAAGGGUUGGAUGUGGGGGCUCUGCUGCCGUGAGGCGGCUCCCCUCAAAUGCAUCGGUUGGGCCUGUGGGUCGAACUCGACUGGGCGUUGUACCAUCCUCGCUCGACAGAGACGUUCCCCUCCUGCGCCCUCCCCCGACCUGCCUAUCAGAGCGGCGGUCAAGCAACAAACUUUGAAAUCUGACCUCAAAUCAGGUAGGACUACCCGCUGAACUUAAGC